AUGAACGCUGGCGGCGUGCCUAAUACAUGCCAGUCGAGCGAAUGGACGAGAAGCUUGCUUCUCUGAUGUUAGCGGCGGACGGGUGAGUAACACGUGGAUAACCUACCUAUAAGACUGGGAUAACUUCGGGAAACCGGAGCUAAUACCGGAUAAUAUUUUGAACCGCAUGGUUCAAAAGUGAAAGACGGUCUUGCUGUCACUUAUAGAUGGAUCCGCGCUGCAUUAGCUAGUUAGUAAGGUAACGGCUUACCAAGGCAACGAUGCAUAGCCGACCUGAGAGGGUGAUCGGCCACACUGGAACUGAGACACGGUCCAGACUCCUACGGGAGGCAGCAGUAGGGAAUCUUCCGCAAUGGGCGAAAGCCUGACGGAGCAACGCCGCGUGAGUGAUGAAGGUCUUCGGAUCGUAAAACUCUGUUAUUAGGGAAGAACAUAUGUGUAAGUAACUGUGCACAUCUUGACGGUACCUAAUCAGAAAGCCACGGCUAACUACGUG
Molecule: ribosomal RNA, 496 nt
Filed under: uncultured bacterium
Lineage: Bacteria
Description: partial 16S ribosomal RNA
Rfam family: Bacterial small subunit ribosomal RNA
Source: RNAcentral